RNAcentral lists this non-coding RNA (36 nucleotides) under Trichobilharzia regenti. Lineage: Eukaryota; Metazoa; Platyhelminthes; Trematoda; Strigeidida; Schistosomatidae. The record is from RNAcentral.
AUCCAGAUGACGAGUCCCAAAUAGGACGAAAUGCGC